CAGCCAAAGUUGUCUUUCAAUGGCAGCAAAAACCUCCAAAAAUUUUUAGCAACAUAACCUCAAAAUUCAGCAGCAAAAACCUUGAAUUUUCAGCACCAAAAUCCCUUUAAAAAGCACUGAAUUUUCUCUCUCAAAGUGCAGCAAAAAUUAGCUCUUACCUCACAAAUUUUUAGCUUUCUUCUUCCUCCAAAAAUUACAGCAAAAGCUCUCUUUUUCCUUCCUCAAAGUGCAGCAAAACCAUUCUCUUUUCUCUUCCUCUCCCACGGUUCUUUCUCUCCCUUUUUCUCUUCAUUUCUUUCUUCCUCUCCCACAGUUUUUCUUUCCUUUAUUUUUC
This 334-nucleotide long non-coding RNA is filed under the name Theobroma cacao (cacao). RNAcentral's name for it is "long non-coding RNA (TCAC_LNC000380)". Lineage: Eukaryota; Viridiplantae; Streptophyta; Magnoliopsida; Malvales; Malvaceae. The record is from RNAcentral.